Molecule: long non-coding RNA, 956 nt
Filed under: Salmo salar (Atlantic salmon)
Lineage: Eukaryota; Metazoa; Chordata; Actinopteri; Salmoniformes; Salmonidae
Description: lncRNA (ENSSSAG00000116561.1)
Source: RNAcentral
GCAUUCCAGCAUGACCACGCAAGACAGACAGAGGAUGGUGGUUGAACCAAUUUGCAAGUAUCCUACCAAUAUGCAUGUUAUUUUUCCAUGUAUAAAGUGGUGUCAACUGAGGGGACUAUGUGUCAUGAAGCCAUUAGAAGGCUGUUGCUGACUGAGAGGAGUCUUGCAGUAGGCUAACCCAAAACUAUAAAAGGAUCUCUCUUUCGGCUGCUGCUGAUGACAACUGCAUUCAGGCGACAACCCAUACUGUACUGGCCCAGCGGCUAUGUCACGACUUCUACCAAAGUUGAUGCCCCUCCUUGUUCGGGUGGUGCUCGGCGAUCGACGUCACCGGUCUUCUAGCCACCAUUGAUCAGUUUUUCAUUUUCCAUUGGUUUUGUCUGGUCUCCUUACACACCUGUUUCUUAUCCCAGUAAUUACAUGUUGUGUAUUUAACCCUCUGUUUCUCCUCAUAUCCUUGUCGGUGAUUGUUUGUUAUGUUAUGUACGUGUUGUUGAUGUAUCGGUGUGCGACGGGUUAUUGUUUACCCGGAGAAUUUUUCUACGUUGGUUUUGGAGUUAGUUCUUUUAAUAAAUACUCAAUUUUUUAACCACUUUGGUUUCUCCUGCGCCUGACUUCCCUGCCACCUACAUUCACGGAUUAUGACAGGCUAGGGAGUUAGACCCGUGGUCAAAAGGUUGACGGUUUGAAUCCUGGGCCAGGCGCUGGGAAAAAAACAGGCGGAAUUGAUCUGACAACUGGAGGGCCGCUGGGUUCACAUCCUCAAAACAUUCCCCUACUGUUGGGCCCUUGAGUAAGGCCCUAACCCCACAGCAUGUUCUUCAUCCAGGGGCGCUGCGCUGCAGCUUGAACCUGUGCUAAUCUCAACUCUAUGUUUGUGGGUGUUGCGAACAAGAAGACACAUUUUUGUUGUUCGGACAACGUUGCAUUGUAUUGUAUUGUAAAGAAGUCAGCCA